UACAGAGGUCCCAAGCGUUGUUCGGAUUCAUUGGGCGUAAAGGGUGCGUAGGUGGCGUCGUAAGUCGGGUGUGAAAUCUCGGGGCUUAACUCCGAAACUGCAUUCGAUACUGCGGUGCUUGAGGACUGGAGAGGAGACUGGAAUUUACGGUGUAGCAGUGAAAUGCGUAGAGAUCGUAAGGAACACCGGUGGCGAAGGCGGGUCUCUGGGCCGGUACCGACGCUGAGGAGCGAAAGCGUGGGGAGCGAACAGG
RNAcentral lists this ribosomal RNA (253 nucleotides) under uncultured bacterium. RNAcentral's name for it is "partial 16S ribosomal RNA". It matches the Rfam family "Bacterial small subunit ribosomal RNA", at positions 524 to 776 of the family's 1533-position model. The record is from RNAcentral.